AGAGUUUUGAUCCUGGCUCAGAACGAACGCUGGCGGCAAGCCUAACACAUGCAAGUCGAACGGACAAUUGUUUAUAUCUUUGGUAUAAAUAAUUGUUAGUGGCAGACGGGUGAGUAAUGCGUAGGAAUCUACCUAGUAGUAUGGAAUAGCCAUUAGAAAUGAUGGGUAAUACUGUAUAAUCCCUGCGGGGGAAAGAUUUAUCGCUAUUAGAUGAGCCUACGUUAGAUUAGCUAGUUGGUAAGGUAAUGGCUUACCAAGGCUAUGAUCUAUAGCUGGUCUGAGAGGACGAUCAGCCACACUGGAACUGAGAUACGGUCCAGACUCCUACGGGAGGCAGCAGUGGGGAAUAUUGGACAAUGGGCGAAAGCCUGAUCCAGCUAUGCCGCGUGAGUGAAGAAGGCCUUCGGGUUGUAAAGCUCUUUCAAUAGGGAAGAUAAUGACGGUACCUACAGAAGAAGUCCGGGGCAAACUC
RNAcentral lists this ribosomal RNA (472 nucleotides) under uncultured Ehrlichia sp. RNAcentral's name for it is "bacterial SSU rRNA". It matches the Rfam family "Bacterial small subunit ribosomal RNA", at positions 8 to 504 of the family's 1533-position model. Lineage: Bacteria; Pseudomonadati; Pseudomonadota; Alphaproteobacteria; Rickettsiales; Anaplasmataceae. The record is from RNAcentral. RNAcentral also lists the same sequence under 1 other name.